RNAcentral lists this ribosomal RNA (253 nucleotides) under uncultured bacterium. Its description in RNAcentral is "partial 16S ribosomal RNA". It matches the Rfam family "Bacterial small subunit ribosomal RNA", at positions 524 to 776 of the family's 1533-position model. The record is from RNAcentral.
UACAGAGGUCUCAAGCGUUGUUCGGAUUCAUUGGGCGUAAAGGGUGCGUAGGUGGCGCCGUAAGUCAGGUGUGAAAUCUCGGGGCUCAACCCCGAAACUGCAUUCGAUACUGCCGUGCUUGAGGACUGGAGAGGAGACUGGAAUUUACGGUGUAGCGGUGAAAUGCGUAGAUAUCGUAAGGAAGACCAGUGGCGAAGGCGGGUCUCUGGACAGUUCCUGACGCUGAGGCACGAAGGUCAGGGGAGCAAACGGG